This 395-nucleotide long non-coding RNA is filed under the name Ananas comosus (pineapple). RNAcentral describes it as "long non-coding RNA (ACOM_LNC034304)". The record is from RNAcentral. Lineage: Eukaryota; Viridiplantae; Streptophyta; Magnoliopsida; Poales; Bromeliaceae.
UUAAUUGCAUACACAUCUAUAUAAACAUAUCGAAUUGCAAAUAAAUCCUUACAAAAAUCAACUUUUUAAUUUUAUUCCUGCAAAAGUUCAAUAAUAUUUAUAUUUAUUCCUCUGGUUUGUUACCGUUAGAGCACUAAUUUUUUUUAAUAGCUGAUAAUUAAAAAUAAUAUUUUUGUCCUUAUAAAUAUAUCCUUUCAAAAAUCCUAACAGCUAGAAUUAUACGAAAAUGUCCUCCCAAAAGGUAUUUUAUCUAAUAAUACAAGAGAGGUAAAAAGAUCAAUUUAACUUAUUCACUAACCAAUUAAGUAUUUUACUCGUGAUUAACUAUAUAUGUUUUUCUAACGGAUCCUAACAGUAGGAAUAUAUUCGAUAUGUUUACAGAAAACUGUAUGCAA